GAUGAAGAACGUAGCGAAAUGCGAUAAGUAAUGUGAAUUGCAGAAUUCAGUGAAUCAUCGAAUCUUUGAACGCACAUUGCGACCGCCAGUAUUCUGGCGGGCAUGCCUGUUCGAGCGUCAUUUCAACCAUCAAGCCCCCGGGCUUGUGUUGGGGACCUGCGGCUGCCGCAGGCCCUGAAAAGCAGUGGCGGGCUCGCUGUCACACCGAGCGUAGUAGCAUACAUCUCGCUCUGGGCGUGCUGCGGGUUCCGGCCGUUAAACCACCUUUUAACCCAAGGUUGACCUCGGAUCAGGUAGGAAGACCCGCUGAACUUAAGCAUAUCAAUAAGCGGAGGA
RNAcentral lists this unclassified non-coding RNA (336 nucleotides) under soil metagenome. Its description in RNAcentral is "partial contains 5.8S ribosomal RNA, internal transcribed spacer 2, and large subunit ribosomal RNA". The stretch from base 1 to 120 matches the Rfam family "5.8S ribosomal RNA", at positions 35 to 154 of the family's 154-position model. The record is from RNAcentral.